GACGAACGCUGGCGGCGUGCCUAAUACAUGCAAGUCGAACGCUGAAGGCGGAGUUUGCUUCUCUGAAUGAGUUGCGAACGGGUGAGUAACGCGUAGGUAACCUGCCUGGUAGCGGGGGAUAACUAUUGGAAACGAUAGCUAAUACCGCAUAAUAGUAGAUGCUGCAUGACAUUUGCUUAAAAGGUGCAAUUGCAUCACUACCAGAUGGACCUGCGUUGUAUUAGCUUGUUGGUGAGGUAACGGCUCACCAAGGCAACGAUACAGAGCCGACCUGAGAGGGGGGUCGGCCACCCUGGGACUGGGACACGGCCCAGACUCCUACGGGAAGCAGCAAGAGGGAAUCUUCGGCAAUGGGCGGAAGUCUGACCGAGCAACGCCGCGGGAGGGAAGAAGGGCUUCGGGUCGGAAAGCUCUGUUGUAAGGGAAGAACGGGUUUGAGAGUGGAAAGUUCACACUGUGACGGUAUCUGACAAGAAAGGGACGGCUAACUACGUG
This 495-nucleotide ribosomal RNA is filed under the name uncultured bacterium. Its description in RNAcentral is "partial 16S ribosomal RNA". It matches the Rfam family "Bacterial small subunit ribosomal RNA", at positions 28 to 507 of the family's 1533-position model. The record is from RNAcentral.